This 776-nucleotide long non-coding RNA is filed under the name Numida meleagris (helmeted guineafowl). Its description in RNAcentral is "lncRNA (ENSNMEG00000022002.1)". Lineage: Eukaryota; Metazoa; Chordata; Aves; Galliformes; Numididae. The record is from RNAcentral.
CACACCCAGGGGUGGUGGAAGCUACAGAAUCACAGCUAGAAGGAAGACCUGCCUAUGAAAAACCAAAGAGCUGAUAAAAAGGAGCUGGUAUUAAAAUGCCCACCCAGCAUGACAUACAACAGAGCCAGUGCAGUUUUUACUUGUGCCAGUCCAGCUCUGAGACGCCAAGGAGAUAGGUAGAAUUAUUCCAUAUUUCCAUCCACAUUUGCAUUUGCAGCAAAAAUCUGUUUUCAGACAGGUAUUUUAACAAGACUUUAUUUCAGUCAGCUGGUUUUUGUCUGCAAAUAGCAAGAAUCAUGCUUUGGAGCAGGGCAAGGGGAAAGAACAUCUUGCAACAUGAUUCUCUGGGCCAAAUUUGACAUGUACAGCUCCCACUAAGACCCAAAUAUAGGCAACAUUUGUUUCCAGACAACAAAGAGUGUGUCCGUUGUUACUGCAACAGAAAAAGGUGUGAGCUUUUGAACAUUAUUCCACUGGUCAGGCGUGCCAGCUCAACCUGUGUCUGCAGAUGAGAAAGAAUUCCACUAAAUCACUUAUUUUCUAUUUCCAGAAUCGUAGGUGUUGCAACAUAAGGCACUGGGGGUAGUGGACAGAUGAAAACAGGGUAUCUGCUAAAGAGAAAGCUAUAUCCACACAUGGAGCAAGAUGCUCAUCUUUGGCCCUGCUACACUGUAGGCUUGGUAACUUCUGCCUCCAUGUUGCUCACAGCUGCAAGUGAGGGGUCUAAGAUCUUCAGAGUAGGCCUGGGGGUGAGUUUUUGCACCACUGAUUAGAAA